This 112-nucleotide non-coding RNA is filed under the name Halobacillus karajensis. RNAcentral describes it as "SAM-I sequence". It matches the Rfam family "SAM riboswitch aptamer (S box leader)". From Rfam's summary of the family: The SAM riboswitch is found upstream of a number of genes which code for proteins involved in methionine or cysteine biosynthesis in Gram-positive bacteria. The SAM riboswitch acts at the level of transcription termination control. The predicted structure consists of a complex stem-loop region followed by a single stem loop terminator region. The record is from Rfam by way of RNAcentral. Lineage: Bacteria; Bacillati; Bacillota; Bacilli; Caryophanales; Bacillaceae.
UUCUUAUCUAGAGAGGUGGAGGGACUGGCCCUUAGAAACCUCGGCAACGGGUUUGAUGAAAACAGAUACUGUGCCAAUUCCAGCAAGUGUUGAUCACUUGGAAAGAUAAGGA